AUAAACAGUGCAGAUACGCUUGAUGAUGCCAGGGAGGCUGUUAGUGAAACUGCUGAAGAGUUGGCGCUGAUGGGAGCUCUACGGCACCUCAGAUCCUUGGAGCACAGGAAGGAGUUGAUGGAAGCUGUUCUUCAGUUUUACUGUGAAGGCCGAAUCAAUGCAGCCCUCACACAAUUUAAAGAUGGACUGACUACACUUGGGGUCCUUUAGAUGGUAACCUCACACCCUCAAGCUUUUGAAAAAGUCUUUCUUUACGACCCAACGCCACUGAAGGCCAGCGAUAUUGUGGAACUUUUCCAUGCCAGGUGUCGAUCUUUGCCAGCAUCAAACCGAAGGCGGUUGGAAGCCAGGACCAUUGCCUUCUGGAAAGAUUGGCUCCUAGAGGUUGAAGGUGGACUUGCCCAUCCAAUAACUCUUGAGCAUGUGCUCAUUUUUGCCACUGGCCUUCAACGAAUCCCAGCAGUGGGUUUUCCAAUGCAGCCAGAGCUGGCAUUUUUGCACCCAGAUGAUGGACUAGCGAGGUUUCCAAAGGCCAACACAUGUUCACUGGUUCUUCACUUACCUGUAGGCCAGACUUACACUGAAUUCAAAAAUAACAUGGAGCUUGGACUAGGCUGUGCUUCCCAGUUUGGGGAGGCCUGAAGUUUUAAAAUAAUUUUUUUGAUAAUUCCAAGUGAUUCUAAAACUUGUUUUUGUUUACAGAAUGCUUUUGAAGUAUUUUAUAUAUUAAAUUGUAUUUGGUUUGUUUGUCAGUAAUAAACCUUACGAGUGCUUGCUUAUUCUAAAA
This is a long non-coding RNA of Astyanax mexicanus (Mexican tetra), 787 nucleotides long. RefSeq lists it as uncharacterized. The record is from RefSeq and is a predicted model, not a curated record. The transcript has 3 exons. NCBI's taxonomy places the organism in Eukaryota, Metazoa, Chordata, Actinopteri, Characiformes, Acestrorhamphidae.